This 467-nucleotide ribosomal RNA is filed under the name uncultured bacterium. Its description in RNAcentral is "partial 16S ribosomal RNA". It matches the Rfam family "Bacterial small subunit ribosomal RNA", at positions 28 to 506 of the family's 1533-position model. The record is from RNAcentral.
GACGAACGCUGGCGGCGUGCUUAACACAUGCAAGUCGAACGGAAAGGCCCUGCUUUUGUGGGGUGCUCGAGUGGCGAACGGGUGAGUAACACGUGAGUAACCUGCCCUUGACUUUGGGAUAACUUCAGGAAACUGGGGCUAAUACCGGAUAGGAGCUCCUGCUGCAUGGUGGGGGUUGGAAAGUUUCGGCGGUUGGGGAUGGACUCGCGGCUUAUCAGCUUGUUGGUGGGGUAGUGGCUUACCAAGGCUUUGACGGGUAGCCGGCCUGAGAGGGUGACCGGCCACAUUGGGACUGAGAUACGGCCCAGACGCCUACGGGAGGCAGCAGUGGGGAAUAUUGCACAAUGGGCGGAAGCCUGAUGCGGCAACGCCGCGUGCGGGAUGACGGCCUUCGGGUUGUAAACCGCUUUCGCCUGUGACGAAGCGUGAGUGACGGUAAUGGGUAAAGAAGCACCGGCUAACUACGU